GACGAACGCUGGCGGCGCGCCUAACACAUGCAAGUCGAACGGAGCUGCGAGAAGCUUGCUUUUCUUAGCUUAGUGGCGAACGGGUGAGUAACGCGUGAGUAACCUGCCCUGGAGUGGGGGACAACAGUUGGAAACGACUGCUAGUACCGCAUAAGCCCACGAUCCGGCAUCGGAUUGAGGGAAAAGGAUUUAUUCGCUUCAGGAUGGACUCGCGUCCAAUUAGCUAGUUGGUGAGGUAACGGCCCACCAAGGCGACGAUUGGUAGCCGGACUGAGAGGUUGAACGGCCACAUUGGGACUGAGACACGGCCCAGACUCCUACGGGAGGCAGCAGUGGGGGAUAUUGCACAAUGGGGGAAACCCUGAUGCAGCGACGCCGCGUGGAGGAAGAAGGUUUUCGGAUUGUAAACUCCUGUCGUGAGGGACGAUAAUGACGGUACCUAACAAGAAAGCACCGGCUAACUACGUG
RNAcentral lists this ribosomal RNA (468 nucleotides) under uncultured bacterium. RNAcentral describes it as "partial 16S ribosomal RNA". It matches the Rfam family "Bacterial small subunit ribosomal RNA", at positions 28 to 507 of the family's 1533-position model. The record is from RNAcentral.